Molecule: ribosomal RNA, 305 nt
Filed under: uncultured bacterium
Lineage: Bacteria
Description: bacterial SSU rRNA
Rfam family: Bacterial small subunit ribosomal RNA
Source: RNAcentral
AAUUCCUACGGGGGGCAGCAGUGAGGAAUAUUGGUCAAUGGGCUUACGCCUGAACCAGCCAAGUCGCGUGAGGGAAGACUGCCCUAUGGGUUGUAAACCUCUUUUGUCAGGGAGCAACGCCGGCUACGUGUAGCCGGACUGAGAGUACCUGAAGAAAAAGCAUCGGCUAACUCCGUGCCAGCAGCCGCGGUAAUACGUAGGGGGCAAGCGUUAUCCGGAUUUACUGGGUGUAAAGGGAGCGUAGACGGCGAAGAAAGUCUGAAGUGAAAGCCCGCGGCUCAACCGCGGAAUGGCUUUGGAAACUU